GAUGAAGAACGUAGCGAAAUGCGAUAAGUAGUGUGAAUUGCAGAAUUCAGUGAAUCAUCGAAUCUUUGAACGCACAUUGCGCCCCUUGGUAUCCCGAGGGGCAUGCCUGUUCGAGCGUCAUUUCACCACUCAAGCCUGGCUUGGUGUUGGGCGACGUCCUCUUUGGGGACGCGCCUCGAAACGCUCGGCGGUGUGGCACCGGCUUUAAGCGUAGCAGAAUCUUUCGCUUUGGAAGUCGGGGCCCCGUCUGCCGGAAGACCUGCUCGCAAGGUUGACCUCGGAUCAGGCAGGGAUACCCGCUGAACUUAAGCAUAUCAAUAAGCGGAGGA
Molecule: unclassified non-coding RNA, 329 nt
Filed under: soil metagenome
Description: partial contains 5.8S ribosomal RNA, internal transcribed spacer 2, and large subunit ribosomal RNA
Rfam family: 5.8S ribosomal RNA (bases 1-120)
Source: RNAcentral